GUAAAGGCUGAGAACGGGACUAGUAAGUCUCCAGCGAGGGUACAGAGAGUCGGAUUUGGUGUGAACCGAUACCAGCGCAGAAAACUGAAUGGACCCGGGAGCCGCAAACCGAACCUUAGGAAGUAGGCUUUGACGCAGGGGAAGCGUUAACAGGUCCCGGGGUAUUAUCAGGUACCCGCAAUGAGAUUGGUCGGCCUUUUCUAUCUUUCCCGACCGAAUAAGGGUGGCACCGUGAGGAAUUAACUCCUCGCCCCUUCA
This 258-nucleotide non-coding RNA is filed under the name Chloroflexota bacterium. RNAcentral describes it as "Chloroflexi bacterium T-box sequence". It matches the Rfam family "T-box leader". Rfam says of the family: Uncharged tRNA acts as the effector for transcription antitermination of genes in the T-box leader family. T-boxes are found upstream of many aminoacyl-tRNA synthetase genes and some amino acid biosynthetic genes usually in Gram-positive bacteria. Lineage: Bacteria; Bacillati; Chloroflexota. The record is from RNAcentral.